CCUACGGGUGGCAGCAGUCGAGAAUUAUUCACAAUGGGGGAAACCCUGAUGGUGCGACGCCGCGUGGGGGAAUGAAGGUCUUCGGAUUGUAAACCCCUGUCAUGUUGGAGCAAAUAACACAGAUAGUACCACAAGAGGAAUAGACGGCUAACUCGGUGCCAGCAGCCGCGGUAAUACAGAGGUCCCAAGCGUUGUCCGGAAUCACUGGGCGUAAAGCGUGCGUAGGCUGUUUGGUAAGGCGGGUGUGAAAGGCUCGGGCUCAACACGCGGACGGCACAUGCUACUGCGGGACUAGAGUGAUGGAGGGGGAACCGGAAUGUAUGGUGUAGCAGUGAAAUGCGUAGAGAUC
Molecule: ribosomal RNA, 349 nt
Filed under: uncultured bacterium
Lineage: Bacteria
Description: partial 16S ribosomal RNA
Rfam family: Bacterial small subunit ribosomal RNA
Source: RNAcentral